Molecule: long non-coding RNA, 735 nt
Filed under: Equus caballus (horse)
Lineage: Eukaryota; Metazoa; Chordata; Mammalia; Perissodactyla; Equidae
Description: lncRNA (ENSECAG00000056907.1)
Source: RNAcentral
CACAAGACACAGCAUUACCUUGUGAUAUUGGCAGACACUCAUGAGACCUAAAAGGAUCUGUGGACUAAUUGCAGGCUUUGCAGUAGCUAAGUAAAAUGAAAGAGACGGCACUGGAGUCGGUUCCAUGAGAAUGAUUUCACUGUAACACAGCUUGCCUUGGUUGUCGGAAACUUGCUUAGCUUUUCGGAGAGAGGAUCUAAGUUCUGCUUUCUCAAGGUGAGAAAACUGAAGCACUCAAAAUUACUUGUGAAAGUCACACAGAUAAUAAGUGACUGAUUGAAAUUCAGGUCCGGGCAGCCUAGCUCCACAGACCUCAUCUCUAAUAACGCUGUACGAAACUGUUCCCCACCACAAGGGAACCUUUUGAAUGGAGCCAACACCUUGGGGAGGCUAGUUGGCAGUCCAAGUUCUUAGCCAAGACAAUGGGCUGCUAUCUUAUAAGAGGGCUGGCCCGUCGGCUCUACCAUUGUUCCUCCUCUGGCGCCCUCUGCCUCCUCCAUCAGUCUUGGGCCAUGUGACCCUGCAGUGCUACGGGAGCAUUUCUGUGGCAGCUCUUGUUUCAGUUGGAGCGUGUUCUGCCUUAGACUUGUAGCAGCUUCUCUGCCCUGGAGGUCCCACCAGCUUCAACACUUAUUGAUUAAUUUUGCCACUGCAUCGUUUCACUCCCCGUGAACUUGAAAACCUCACAGUAAAUAUGAAAGUGCUAAGGUCAGUAAAUAAAGAAGUGAUAGUGUC